UCAGACGAUGCGUCAUGCAUAUCAAUAAGCGGAGGAAAAGAAACUAACAAGGAUUCCCUUAGUAACGGCGAGUGAAGCGGGAAGAGCUCAAAUUUGAAAUCUUCAAGGUUUUACCUUGACGAAUUGUAGUUUAAAGAAGUGUUUUCUGCUGAAGUUUUGGUAAAAGUUCUUUGGAAUAGGACAUCAUAGAGGGUGAGAAUCCCGUAUUUGACCAUUAUUUUCAGCUGUGUGAUACACUUUCAAAGAGUCGGAUUGUUUGGGAAUGCAGUCCAAAAUGGGUGGUAAAUUUCAUCUAAAGCUAAAUAUUGGCGAGAGACCGAUAGCGAACAAGUACCGUGAGGGAAAGAUGAAAAGAACUUUGAAAUGAGAGUUAAACAGUACGUGAAAUUGUCAAAAGGGAAGCGUUUGACACCAGUGUUGUUUUCUCGAAAAUCAAUUAAAAAGAGUUAGAUUUUGUUGUGUAUUGACCUUAACAGCUUGCAUUUCAAUUUUCUUGCUUUUUUUAAUGCACUUUUCGUUUAACAAGUCAACAUCAGUUUCUUUUGUUGUAAAAAGGUCAUUGGAAGGUGGCUUUCUUUUCGGAGAAAGUGUUUAUAACCUUUGACUCCUGCAAUCGGAGAGACUGAGGUCUGCAGCGUAGAUCCUUCGGGGUUAGAUACAUUUGUGCUAAGUUAUAGCUUUUUAUAGACAACUUGUUGACUAUGAUUAGUCUUGUAGCUUACUCGCUUAUGCUAUUUUACCUACGCUUAGGAUGUUGAGUCGUAGAGCACGCAG
RNAcentral lists this ribosomal RNA (774 nucleotides) under uncultured Neocallimastigales. RNAcentral describes it as "partial large subunit ribosomal RNA". It matches the Rfam family "Eukaryotic large subunit ribosomal RNA", at positions 18 to 622 of the family's 3401-position model. Lineage: Eukaryota; Fungi; Neocallimastigomycota; Neocallimastigomycetes; Neocallimastigales. The record is from RNAcentral.